This 424-nucleotide ribosomal RNA is filed under the name Gemmatimonadota bacterium. Its description in RNAcentral is "Gemmatimonadetes bacterium partial 16S ribosomal RNA". It matches the Rfam family "Bacterial small subunit ribosomal RNA", at positions 355 to 776 of the family's 1533-position model. Lineage: Bacteria; Pseudomonadati; Gemmatimonadota. The record is from RNAcentral.
UGAGGAAUAUUGGACAAUGGGCGCAAGCCUGAUCCAGCCAUGCCGCGUGUAGGAAGACGGCCCUAUGGGUUGUAAACUACUUUUAUACGGGAAGAAACCUAUCCUCGUGAGGAUAGCUGACGGUACCGUAAGAAUAAGCACCGGCUAACUCCGUGCCAGCAGCCGCGGUAAUACGGAGGGUGCGAGCGUUAAUCGGAAUUACUGGGCGUAAAGCGCAUGCAGGUGGUUUGUUAAGUCAGAUGUGAAAGCCCGGGGCUCAACCUCGGAAGGUCAUUUGAAACUGGCAGGCUAGAGUACUGUAGAGGGGGGUAGAAUUUCAGGUGUAGCGGUGAAAUGCGUAGAGAUCUGAAGGAAUACCAGUGGCGAAGGCGGCCCCCUGGACAGAUACUGACACUCAGAUGCGAAAGCGUGGGGAGCAAACAGG